AAUAUAUAACAAUAACCUUCGUAUAAGCUAAGCAAUAGGGGUUUAGCGUUUCUACUAUACUACCGUAAAUAGUAUAACUAUGAAGAAUUUAGU
RNAcentral lists this non-coding RNA (93 nucleotides) under Clostridium amazonitimonense. Its description in RNAcentral is "Purine riboswitch". It matches the Rfam family "Purine riboswitch aptamer". Rfam says of the family: Riboswitches are metabolite binding domains within certain messenger RNAs that serve as precision sensors for their corresponding targets. Allosteric rearrangement of mRNA structure is mediated by ligand binding, and this results in modulation of gene expression. A class of riboswitches that selectively recognises guanine and becomes saturated at concentrations as low as 5 nM. Lineage: Bacteria; Bacillati; Bacillota; Clostridia; Eubacteriales; Clostridiaceae. The record is from RNAcentral.